GAUGAACGCUGGCGGCGUGCCUAAUACAUGCAAGUCGAGCGAACGGACGAGAAGCUUGCUUCUCUGAUGUUAGCGGCGGACGGGUGAGUAACAUGUGGAUAACCUACCUAUAAUACUGGGAUAACUUCGGGAAACCGUAGCUAAUACCGGAUAAUAUUUUGAACCGCAUGGUUCAAAAGUGAAAGACGGUCUUGCUGUCACUUAUAGAUGGAUCCGCGCUGCAUUAGCUAGUUGGUAAGGUAACGGCUUACCAAGGCAACGAUGCAUAGCCGACCUGAGAGGGUGAUCGGCCACACUGGAUCUGAGACACGGUCCAGACUCCUACGGGAGGCAGCAGUAGGGAAUCGUCCGCAAUGGGCGAAAGCCUGACGGAGCAACGCCGCGUGAGUGAUGAAGGUCUUCGGAUCGUAAAACUCUGUUAUUAGGGAAGAACAUAUGUGUAAGUAACUGUGCACAUCUUGACGGUACCUAAUCAGAAAGCCACGGCUAACUACGUG
RNAcentral lists this ribosomal RNA (497 nucleotides) under uncultured bacterium. RNAcentral describes it as "partial 16S ribosomal RNA". It matches the Rfam family "Bacterial small subunit ribosomal RNA", at positions 28 to 507 of the family's 1533-position model. The record is from RNAcentral.